AGGGCUGAUGGACACAGUGGCUGGUUGUCUCUUGCGAGGGCCAGUUGCUACCGGUUUUAAUGCACCUUAAUGCAUCUUUUUCUGGUAAAGUGAACAAAAAUUACAGUUGGUCUCCCUGCACAUUUCUGCUGUGCGUCUGGGCUACUGGAGCAGCCCAUGACAGCACCCAGCCGUUAUCAUGCAGAUUAGAAUCAGCGCUGGGAAACUAUCCAGCUGAAAGAGAUGGCAUGAGUGAUGUGAGCAGUACCAGGAGGGGACCUAUAAAGGCCUUCAGCACUAUAUGCCUUAAGCUUGGAGAAGAACUAGCCCUCCAGUGGCCAGUAAUGCAUUCAGAUGGAAGCUGAAGGAGGACACCAAUCACAGAGGGAAUAAAAUGGCACAAUGUUCUCACCUUUCUGGCAAAGCAGCCAGACUAUGAAUUAUGACAAUAAGAUAAUUAAUUGUCUGAGAACUGAUCUGGCUAUUUAUACAUCUACUUUCCAUACUGUGGUUUUAGAGGGUUAAUCAUCUUAAUGGUCUAACUGAGGACGCUUAUGGGAAUUACAUUUGCUUUUGGAACUAAACUUAUCAUACACUUGAAGGCCCCAGGACUGAAUUUCGGAGCACCUAAUAUAAACCAUAUCCAGCUGAAUUUAAAUUGAUUCUUAAUUGAAAUUUGGGAAUGCUGGUUCUAAAUUGUGUGAUUGUAAAUGCUUUUCUUAUUCUAUUUUGAACACACUAACAGAAACACAAGUGCAACAAAGGUUUAACAUUAUGCUCGCUAUCCCUUACAGCACACGAUAGAUAUUCACAGCUGUGUGCCCUUUGCAAGUCUAAAAAUGUAAAACACGUUACGCGUUGUAAGAAUGAGAUGUCAAGAAUGCACAUGGUCAUCAUGUCAAAGAUGGGCAGUGGCCAUACAUUAUUUUGUACAAUAAUAAAAAGCAGCAGAUGUAUGACUGCUGGUUAUUGUC
Anguilla rostrata (American eel) is the source of this 953-nucleotide long non-coding RNA. RefSeq lists it as uncharacterized. The record is from RefSeq and is a predicted model, not a curated record. The transcript is spliced from 2 exons. NCBI's taxonomy places the organism in Eukaryota, Metazoa, Chordata, Actinopteri, Anguilliformes, Anguillidae.